AUCAUGAUAUCGAUUACUAAUACCCUCUUACAAGCAUUUCUGGCUGAGACUAACAUAUGUAUCCAGGCAUUCAGUAAUUGCCCCUGAUGAAGGCUGUAUAUUGUUAGCGGAAACGCGUUGGGGUUUUUACAAGAUCAUUUUAAAAAUACACGCUCCUCAUUAAACUUUUGGUAUUUUGCUAUCUA
Rhineura floridana is the source of this 185-nucleotide long non-coding RNA. RefSeq lists it as uncharacterized. The record is from RefSeq and is a predicted model, not a curated record. Lineage: Eukaryota; Metazoa; Chordata; Lepidosauria; Squamata; Rhineuridae. The transcript is spliced from 2 exons.